CUACGUGCCAGCAGCCGCGGUAAUACGUAGGGUGCGAGCGUUAAUCGGAAUUACUGGGCGUAAAGCGAGCGCAGACGGUUACUUAAGCAGGAUGUGAAAUCCCCGGGCUCAACCUGGGAACUGCGUUCUGAACUGGGUAGCUAGAGUAUGUCAGAGGGGGGUAGAAUUCCACGUGUAGCAGUGAAAUGCGUAGAGAUGUGGAGGAAUACCGAUGGCGAAGGCAGCCCCCUGGGAUAAUACUGACGUUCAUGCUCGAAAGCGUGGGUAGCAAACAGGAUUAGAUACCCUGGUAGUCCACGCCCUAAACGAUGUCGAUUAGCUGUUGGGCAGCUUGACUGCUUAGUAGCGUAGCUAACGCGUGAAAUCGACCGCCUGGGGAGUACGGUCGCAAGAUUAAAACUCAAAGGAAUUGACGGGGACCCGCACAAGCGGUGGAUGAUGUGGAUUAAUUCGAUGCAACGCGAAGAACCUUACCUACUCUUGACAUCCAGA
RNAcentral lists this ribosomal RNA (492 nucleotides) under uncultured bacterium. Its description in RNAcentral is "bacterial SSU rRNA". It matches the Rfam family "Bacterial small subunit ribosomal RNA", at positions 501 to 992 of the family's 1533-position model. The record is from RNAcentral.